Molecule: ribosomal RNA, 266 nt
Filed under: uncultured Staphylococcus sp.
Lineage: Bacteria; Bacillati; Bacillota; Bacilli; Caryophanales; Staphylococcaceae
Description: partial 16S ribosomal RNA
Rfam family: Bacterial small subunit ribosomal RNA
Source: RNAcentral
CGGCGGACGGGUGAGUAACACGUGGAUAACCUACCUAUAAGACUGGGGUAACUUCGGGAAACCGGAGCUAAUACCGGAUAAUAUAUUGAACCGCAUGGUUCAAUAGUGAAAGACGGUUUUGCUGUCACUUAUAGAUGGAUCCGCGCCGCAUUAGCUAGUUGGUAAGGUAACGGCUUACCAAGGCAACGAUGCGUAGCCGACCUGAGAGGGUGAUCGGCCACACUGGAACUGAGACACGGUCCAGACUCCUACGGGAGGCAGCAGUU